CCAGCCUCAGCCAGGCAUGACUACCCGCUGAACUUAAGCAUAUCAUUAAGCGGAGGAAAAGAAACCAACCGGGAUUCCCGUAGUAAUGGCGAAUGAAUUGGGAAUAGUCCAUCGCUGAAUCGUAGUUAAACUACGAACUGUGGCGUUAGCGGUGUUAUUAGGAAAUGUAUACGGUACCAAGUUCUAUCGAACUGGACUUCCCAGAGAAGGUGAAAGGCCUGUAGUAACUGUGUACGUUUUCCUGCAAGCAUCGUUAGAGUCGGCUUGCUUGUGAGUGCAAGCUAAAGUGGGUGGAAAGCUUCACCUAAGACUAAAUAAAUGCACGAGUUCGAUAGCGAACAAGUACCGUGAGGGAAAGUUGAAAAGAACUUUGAGAAAAGGGUUAAAAGUGCGUGAAACCGUUUAGAAGGAAGCGGAUAGAGCCUUGACGCUUUGCGUUACAGUUGGGACGCAAAGCAGCUGUAAUGAGUGUUCUAACUGGUUGCUAGUUUGAAUGUGCCCUUUUGAUGGCUGUGUAUGCUGUUUAUUGUUAGGGUAAUGAUUCUAGCAGCUUGUUGGUGAGUACUGAGGAUUAGCUUUUGGAUGAUUAACAUGCAUGGGUGUUCUAUCCGACCCGUCUUGAAACACGGACCAAGGAGAUUACCGUAUUAGCAAGUCUAAUGGAGUUAUUCCAUGCGGCGUAAUGAAAGUAACUGGAUGUGAGGGUGUUAAACCUGCAACAUACGCCCCUAAUUGUAACUACGGUUUAUUAGGGAGUGUUAGCUAAUGCGUUAAGACCCGAAAGAUGGCGAACUAUACCUGGUUAAGAUGAAGCCAGUGGAAACACUGGUGGAGGUCUAUCGCGGUUCUGACGUGCAAAUCGAUUGUCGAAGCUGGGUAUAGGGGCGAAAUACUAAUCGAGCCAUCUAGUAGCUGGUUCUCUCCGAAAUUUUCUCAGGAUAGCUGUGUUCGUAAAAAGUUCAUAUUUUAAAGCGAAUGAUUAGAGAUCUGUGCUCAGAUUGGGUGCAUACUAUUCUCAAACUUUAAACACGUGAGAUAUGUGGCUCACUUGAUUGGAGGCACAUAUAGAAUUAGAGUACCAAGUGGGCCAAUUAUGGUAAUCAUGACUGGCGCUGUGGGAUGAACCAAACGUCUAGUUAAGGUGCCUGACUAGACGCACACAGGAUACCAUGAAAAGUGUCAGUUGAUUAUGACAACUGGAAGGUGACCAUAGAAGUCGGAAUCCUCUAAGGAGUGUGUAAUAACUCACCUGUCGAAUUAACUGGCCUUGAAAAUGGAUGGCGCUGUAGCGUUUGACCUAUACUAGGCCGUUGUAGCAGUUUGACUGGCUUUGGCUAGUGAGAAAAGAUAGGCUACGACGAGUAGGAGAGACGUGGCGGUAGCAUGGAAGCCAAGCAUGUGAAUGCUGGUAGAGCUGUUCGCUAGUGCAGAUCUUGGUGGUAGUAGCAAUUACUCAAAUGAGAACUUUGAGGGCCUAUGUGGAGAAGGGUUUCAUGUGAACAUGAGUUGUACAUGAGUUAGUCGGUCCUAAGCACGUUGUCAAGUCAUUUGAAAUGGCUAGUGUAGCCUGUGUGCGAAAGGGAAUGGGGUUAAUAUUCCCGAACCUAAGAAGGCUGUUUAUGCGGCGACGCUGUUGUAACAGUCUAGGACGGCAGGUGUUCUGGGAAGAGUUAUCUUUUCUUCUAAAGGGUCGGUUUCUCUUGAAAUGGUUUAGCCAGCGAAAGAGAAGUUGUUGAUCAUUACGAUCAUAUCCGCAGAGCAUUGCAGUUUUUGCUGUGUCCAGUGUACACCUGACGUUUCAUAAAACGCCUGUUACAGUUUAACAGUCACUUGGGCCGUACCAAUAACCGCAGCAGGUCUCCAAGGUUAGCAGCCUCUGGUCAAUAGAUAAACGCUGAUAAGGGAAGUCGGCAAACUAGAUCUGUACCUUCGGUAGAAGGAUUGGCUCUAUGGGUUGAGUCUUUACUGCUGUUUGUUUGAUUGCUGCGUAAGUGGUAGUUGAGCAUUGAGUGGUAGGACAGUGAACAACCAAAGUAGAACUGGCACGGAGAAGGGGAAUCUGACUGUGUAAUAACAACAAAGCAGUGCGAUAGCCGUAAACGGUUUUGACGCAGUGUGAUUUCUGCCCAGUGCCCUGAAUGUCAGCGUGAAGAGAUUCACUUAAGCACGGGUAAACGGCGGAGUAACUACGACUCUCUUAAGGUAGCCAAAUGCCUCGUAAUUUAAUUGAUGACGCGCAUGAAUGGAUUAACGAGAUUCCCACUGUCCCUAUCAGCACUCUAGCGAAACCACAGACAGGGUAACGGGCCCGUGACAAUCAGCGGGGAAAGAAGACCCUGUUGAGCUUGGACUCUAGAUUGGCAUUGUAGGAGGACAUUGGGGAUAUAGUAAUAGGUGGGAGCUGUUCCGCAGCGACAAUGUAAGACCACUUCCUCAGUCGUCUUCCUACUAAUUCAGUAAUACCGUGCUUCCUUAAUGGGAAAGUUUGCAGUGAUCGGAUCUUUAAGGCCCGUUCGGGGUCGAUCGGAUCUGAAAACAGUGUCAUUUGGGGAGUUUGGCUGGGGCGGUACAUCUGCUAAACAAUAACGCAGAUGUCCAAAGGUGAGCUCAGGUGAACAGAAAUCUACCAUAGCGCGAAAGGGUAAAAGCUCGCCUUAUUUGCAUGUUCAGUACGUAUGCAAGGCGCAAAAGCGUGGCCUAUCGAUCCUUUUACUUUUAUAAGCUUUAAGUUAAAGGUGACAGAAAAGUUACCACAGGGAUAAUUGGCUUGUGGCACCCAAGCGUACAUAGCGACGGUGCUUUUUGAUCCUUCGAUGUUGGCUCUUCCUAUCAUUGCGAAGCAUAAAUCGCAAAGUGUAGGAUUCUUCACCCACUAACAGGAACGUGAGCUGAGUUUAGACCAUCGUGAGAUAGGUUAGUUUUUACCCUACUGAUUGAGUGUCGUUGCCACAGUAAUUCUGCAAAUUACGUAAGGAACUGCAGAGUCAGACAUUUGGUUCAUGCACUUGACUGGAAAGUCAGUGGUGCGAAGCUAUCGUCUGAAGAUAAUAACUGAACGCCUCUAAGUUAAAAUCUUGACUGGCUGCAACGAUAUUGUUCGAAGCUCUUGUAUAGCAAAUUUAUGCUUUUAUGCUGCUACUGGCUUGGUGUCGUUGAUAACACUAAAAACUGUUGUUACACCGGUUAACUUGCAUUUUCACUGAGCUUUGUGCUAAAUUAUAUGCAAACGACAUAUACUGGCAUGGGAACUGUACAUACGAAAGCCACGUAUAAUGGCGAUCUACUGAGGUCCAUCCCUUUGCCUAAAAUUUGU
This 3313-nucleotide ribosomal RNA is filed under the name Octopus vulgaris (common octopus). RNAcentral describes it as "Eukaryotic large subunit ribosomal RNA". It matches the Rfam family "Eukaryotic large subunit ribosomal RNA". RNAcentral also lists the same sequence under 1 other name. The record is from Rfam by way of RNAcentral. Lineage: Eukaryota; Metazoa; Mollusca; Cephalopoda; Octopoda; Octopodidae.